This 588-nucleotide ribosomal RNA is filed under the name uncultured bacterium. Its description in RNAcentral is "partial 16S ribosomal RNA". It matches the Rfam family "Bacterial small subunit ribosomal RNA", at positions 355 to 1375 of the family's 1533-position model. The record is from RNAcentral.
UGGGGAAUUUUGGACAAUGGGCGAAAGCCUGAUCCAGCAAUGCCGCGUGUGUGAAGAAGGCCUUCGGGUUGUAAAGCACUUUUGUCCGGAAAGAAAUCCUUGGCUCUAAUACAGUCGGGGGAUGACGGUACCGGAAGAAUAAGCACCGGCUAACUACGUGCCAGCAGCCGCGGUAAUACGUAGGGUGCAAGCGCUAAUCGGAAUUACUGGGCGUAAAGCGUGCGCAGGCGGUUUGCUAAGACCGAUGUGAAAUCCCCGGGCUCAACCUGGGAACUGCAUUGGUGACUGGCAGGCUAGAGUAUGGCAGAGGGGGGUAGAAUUCCACGUGUAGCAGUGAAAUGCGUAGAGAUGUGGAGGAAUACCGAUGGCGAAGGCAGCCCCCUGGGCCAAAUACUGACGCUCAUGCACGAAAGCGUGGGGAGCAAAACAGGAUUAGAUACCCUGGUAGUCCACGCCCUAAAACGAUGUCAACUAGUUGUUGGGGAUUCAUUUCCUUAGUAACGUAGCUAACGCGUGAAGUUGACCGCCUGGGGAGUACGGUCGCAAGAUUAAAACUUAAAUGAAUUGACGGGGUCAUAGCUGUUUCCU